This is a non-coding RNA of Pelobates cultripes (western spadefoot toad), 309 nucleotides long. NCBI's taxonomy places the organism in Eukaryota, Metazoa, Chordata, Amphibia, Anura, Pelobatidae. The record is from the annotation of a GenBank genome assembly.
ACUUAUAAAGCCAGUAUUUAUACAAACGUUCGCGUAAUACUGAUCAAUUCAAUCCCUACCACCUCACUCUGAGCUACUGAGCGAGUCAAGACACAAAAACUCCACCUGUGGCUAAUUAUCUGGCAAACGAAAUCACUGGACAAACUGCUCUCUGUUCAGGGACUGUAAAGUCGGAGAUACACAGAGACACUUUGUAUGGCAUCGUUUACAGGAAGAGGCUCAGUCUCCCCUUGCAGUUAACGGAAUUAUGGUUAAUGGUGUUCAGGAAGUCAGAGAAAUACUUAAGAGGUUUGAAAGAUACGAAAUGGG